RNAcentral lists this non-coding RNA (97 nucleotides) under Prosthecochloris sp. Its description in RNAcentral is "TPP sequence". It matches the Rfam family "TPP riboswitch aptamer (THI element)". Rfam says of the family: Vitamin B(1) in its active form thiamin pyrophosphate (TPP) is an essential coenzyme that is synthesised by coupling of pyrimidine and thiazole moieties in bacteria. The previously detected thiamin-regulatory element, thi box was extended, resulting in a new, highly conserved RNA secondary structure, the THI element, which is widely distributed in eubacteria and also occurs in some archaea. Lineage: Bacteria; Pseudomonadati; Chlorobiota; Chlorobiia; Chlorobiales; Chlorobiaceae. RNAcentral also lists the same sequence under 1 other name. The record is from RNAcentral.
ACCUGAACUCCGGGGUGCUGCCAUGGGGCGGCUGAGAUCAUACCCGUAUAACUUGAUGCAGGUAAUACUGACGCAAGGAAAAGUGCACAGGCGCAGA